This 274-nucleotide ribosomal RNA is filed under the name uncultured bacterium. RNAcentral describes it as "partial 16S ribosomal RNA". It matches the Rfam family "Bacterial small subunit ribosomal RNA", at positions 523 to 796 of the family's 1533-position model. The record is from RNAcentral.
ACACGGAGGGUGCAAGCGUUAAUCGGAAUUACUGGGCGUAAAGCGUGCGCAGGCGGUUUGUUAAGUCAGAUGUGAAAGCCCCGGGCUCAACCUGGGAACUGCAUUUGAAACUGGCAAACUAGAGUGUGGUAGAGGGAAGUGGAAUUCCUCAUGUAGCGGUGAAAUGCGUAGAUAUGAGGAGGAACACCAGUGGCGAAGGCGACUUCCUGGACCAACACUGACGCUCAUGUACGAAAGCGUGGGUAGCAAACAGGAUUAGAAACCCUAGUAGUCC